RNAcentral lists this ribosomal RNA (535 nucleotides) under uncultured fungus. Its description in RNAcentral is "partial 18S ribosomal RNA". The stretch from base 1 to 234 matches the Rfam family "Eukaryotic small subunit ribosomal RNA", at positions 1016 to 1831 of the family's 1831-position model. The record is from RNAcentral. Lineage: Eukaryota; Fungi.
GUACGUAGUCUUAACCAUAAACUAUGCCGACUAGGGAUCGGGCGAUGUUACCAUCUUGACUCGCUCGGCACCUUACGAGAAAUCAAAGUUUUGGGUUCUGGGGGAGUAUGGUCGCAAGGCUGAAACUUAAAGAAAUUGACGGAAGGCACCACCAGGAGUUAACCCGCCUAGCCGCUGGCUCUGCUCCGCACAGUACUGCCUCUCUCGAGGCCGGUGGGUGGCCCUAUAACAAUGUACUAGUCCCCUAACUUUAGGGGGCAACACGCUUAAAUUGCGGGGACCUCCAACACUCUGCCCUCCCAAGCCGGUGCUUCGAUGCGCCGGUGGCCAGGUUAACAGCCUGGGUACGGGAACAUGCGGCGGGGUGGACGAUCCGCAGCCAAGCCCCUCUUCGCGGAGGGGAAGGUCCAGAGACUAGACAGGCGUGGGUCGGUGCCGGAGACGCGCCGACUUAAGAUAUAGUCCGAUUCAAGGCGAGAGCCUUGCCUACAACCUCUCUAAAUGGGAGCCUGCGGCUUAAUUUGACUCAACACGG